This 253-nucleotide ribosomal RNA is filed under the name uncultured bacterium. RNAcentral's name for it is "partial 16S ribosomal RNA". It matches the Rfam family "Bacterial small subunit ribosomal RNA", at positions 524 to 776 of the family's 1533-position model. The record is from RNAcentral.
UACAGAGGGUGCAAGCGUUAAUCGGAAUGACUGGGCGUAAAGGGUGCGUAGGUGGUUAAUUAAGUUUCAUGUGAAAGUCCCGGGCUCAACCUGGGAAUGGCAUGGAAAACUGAAUAGCUUGAGUAGAGGAGAGGUGAGUGGAAUUUCCGGUGUAGCAGUGAAAUGCGUAGAGAUCGGAAGGAACAUCAGUGGCGAAGGCGACUCACUGGACUCAUACUGACACUGAAGCACGAAAGCGUGGGGAGCAAACAGG